ACGCCCCCCGCCCCGCCACCGCCUUGGAGGCUGACCUCUUACUUUCGGUCGGUCUUCUUCCCUGGGCUUGGUUUGGGGGCGGGGGAGUGUC
Homo sapiens (human) is the source of this 91-nucleotide microRNA precursor. The record is from Ensembl. NCBI's taxonomy places the organism in Eukaryota, Metazoa, Chordata, Mammalia, Primates, Hominidae.